RNAcentral lists this ribosomal RNA (468 nucleotides) under uncultured Glomus. RNAcentral describes it as "SSU rRNA". It matches the Rfam family "Eukaryotic small subunit ribosomal RNA", at positions 583 to 1056 of the family's 1831-position model. Lineage: Eukaryota; Fungi; Glomeromycota; Glomeromycetes; Glomerales; Glomeraceae. The record is from RNAcentral.
UUCCAGUCCAAUAGCGUAUAUUAAAGUUGUUGCAGUUAAAAAGCUCGUAGUUGAAUUUCGGGGUUAGUAGGUUGGUCAUGCCUCUGGUAUGUACUGAUCUCACUGAUUCCUCCUUCCUUAUGAACCGUAAUGCCAUUAAUUUGGUGUUGCGGGGAAUUUGGACUGUUACUUUGAAAAAAUUAGAGUGUUUAAAGCAGGCUAACGCUUGAAUACAUUAGCAUGGAAUAAUGAAAUAGGACGUUCGAUCUUAUUUUGUUGGUUUCUAGGAUUGACGUAAUGAUUAAUAGGGAUAGUUGGGGGCAUUAGUAUUCAAUUGUCAGAGGUGAAAUUCUUGGAUUUAUUGAAGACUAACUACUGCGAAAGCAUUUGCCAAGGAUGUUUUCAUUAAUCAGGAACGAAAGUUAGGGGAUCGAAGACGAUCAGAUACCGUCGUAGUCUUAACCAUAAACUAUGCCGACUAGGGAUCGG